Molecule: non-coding RNA, 24 nt
Filed under: Arabidopsis thaliana (thale cress)
Lineage: Eukaryota; Viridiplantae; Streptophyta; Magnoliopsida; Brassicales; Brassicaceae
Source: RNAcentral
UCCUUUAAUGGUUGAGUGGGCAAA